Molecule: ribosomal RNA, 327 nt
Filed under: uncultured eukaryote
Lineage: Eukaryota
Description: partial 18S ribosomal RNA
Rfam family: Eukaryotic small subunit ribosomal RNA
Source: RNAcentral
CCCUUAGAUGUUCUGGGCCGCACACGCGCUACACUGAAGGAGGCAGCGUGUACUCCUGGAUCGAAAGAUUUGGGUAACCCGCGAAUCUCCUUCGUGCUAGGGAUUGAGGUUUGCAAUUAUCCUUCAUGGACGAGGAAUUCCCAGUAAGUGCAAGUCAUAAGCUUGCGCUGACUACGUCCCUGCCCUUUGUACACACCGCCCGUCGCUACUACCGAUUGAAUGAUUUAGUGAGGACUUCGGACUGGGACCGAUGCGGCUUUCGGGCUGCGUCGGUAUUCUGGAAAGAUGUCCAAACUGUAUCAUUUAGAGGAAGUAAAAGUCGUAACA